GCGGGGGGCGCGGCUCCAUCCUGCGUCCCUCCGGGGGCGCGGGCCAAGGGUUCGGUCUGCAGAGCGGCCUCGGAAACGUCCCUCGCGCCCUUCCGGUCCUUCCUCCGCUUCGUGGUACAGACUACCUUUGAAAUCCUGCCUUCUCCCUUUUUUGCCUCACUCCCACGCUCUCUACAUAGUGAAAUCUGAUUGAAGGGAGCUGGAAAAGCGUCAACAAACAAGGGGUGCCUUGCCAAGGCCAGUGAAGCGGUGCCUCUGGAGAUUGUGUGGCAGAGGGGCCCCUGGGCCCUUCCAGGAGACCCGCAGGAAGGGUGGGGUGCGAGCGGGGUGCCCCAGUGUGGCUGUGUCAGGCCUGGUUCUUCUUUCUCUGCCUCCCCGAUGGAAACUGGGACUCCAGCAGCCUACUGGAGUAUGACACUUCAAAACAAAGGCCAGCUAAUAACAACAAGUAAGAAAAAAAAUUAUGUUAAGAUUAGGAACAGCAGAUUUUAGAGCUCUUUGUGAAUGCCACAGCCAAGAGGAUUUGUAUAAGGUGCAGUCAGUGCGCAGAUAGAGCUUCCAUCCUGCUUCACAUGCAACUCUGUUGUUAAAUGUUACCAAAGUAUCCAUUCUGGAUAAACAGACCAGCUAACCUCAUGGGUGCCAAAACUCCUCCACUGAACAGGAUCUUCAUAAGGAAGAGUCUUUGUGAAGCCACAGAGAAGACACCUCUGAGAGCAGACUUGGAAAGACCUCCCUGUGCACUUUUUUCUCCUGGUAGCCCAUGACGUAUGUUCCCAUCACAGUUUUUCAAUAGUGGAGGAAUUAUUUUCUUUAAGAAUAAAAAGAAAAUGUUUGCUUUUCAUCCUAUUCUCUGCACUUUUCAUUGAGUACUGUUUGAGUACUCUUCUCAGCUUACAGGUAAGGCAUGAGAAUUAGUGAAAUGACCAAGCUAUUAGACUGUACAAAUUUAUGCUCAGCACCAAACAUAAACCAGAAAACAUUGUCACAAAGCUCUCUAGAAGCCCGUGGGGCAUAUGAUUAUGAUCAAAGCGCUGAAAUAUUCCAGCCACCUCCAUCUUUGAGUGUCUGUUUCUGCGGGUUACGAUGGUUUGGCUGUUUCCCAAACUCCUCCCGUCUUUGGACUUGAAAAAUGCAUUAAAGAAACACUGUGUUUAAGGCAUCUCUUGGUUUGGGUGAAUUAUAAUCACAUAUACUAAUGUGAAGAGGUUCAACACUAUUAGAAAUUUACAAAUUUAUAAGGCAAAGAUCAUAGAGCUCUGAGCCUCAGGCAGUUCUUGGGCAAAGGUUUUGAAAUUCAAGCCUCAAAUUCUUCACUGAUGACACAGAGGCAUCUGAACUGCAGUUCCAGGGCAAGGUAAAAAAAGAAGCCUGUUGUUAUGUAUAUCUAAAAAUCUACCAAUAAAAUCUAAUGAAAAUAAAAAAAGAAGUAGCCUGUCCAUUACUAAGUGAGACAGAUUACACACAUCAAAUGUCAAAGAAUAUUAGUGUACUCA
Molecule: long non-coding RNA, 1496 nt
Organism: Chinchilla lanigera (long-tailed chinchilla)
Lineage: Eukaryota; Metazoa; Chordata; Mammalia; Rodentia; Chinchillidae
Exons: 3
Source: RefSeq, a predicted model, not a curated record